CCCUUAGAUGUUCUGGGCCGCACGCGUGUUACAAUCGGGAGUACAACAAGAUUGCAAAUCCUAGUGGAUGAGUGGUUCUUCGAAAUUUUCUGAAGACUGGGAUAGUUGAUUGAAAUUAUUCAACUCAAACGAGGAAUUCCUUGUAAUUGUAAUUCAUUAUAUUGUAAUGAAUACGUCCCUGCCCUUUGUACACACCGCCCGUCGCUCCUACCGAUUGAAUGGUCCGGUGAAAUCUUCGGACCGUGACUUUGAUUUGUUUACUCAAAACGCUGUUACGGGAAGUUGAUUAAACCUUACCAUUUAGAGGAAGGUGAAGUCGUAACA
RNAcentral lists this ribosomal RNA (324 nucleotides) under uncultured eukaryote. Its description in RNAcentral is "partial 18S ribosomal RNA". It matches the Rfam family "Eukaryotic small subunit ribosomal RNA", at positions 1470 to 1796 of the family's 1831-position model. The record is from RNAcentral.